Salvia splendens (bonfire salvia) is the source of this 1040-nucleotide long non-coding RNA. RefSeq lists it as uncharacterized. Lineage: Eukaryota; Viridiplantae; Streptophyta; Magnoliopsida; Lamiales; Lamiaceae. The transcript has 2 exons. The record is from RefSeq and is a predicted model, not a curated record.
UCUGCAAACAAAUAACAAAUAAAAGAAAAGAAAAUCGAAUUCUCCCCCUCAACCCACGUUAGAAAAGCCGCCCUCUCUCCCCUAAAUCUCUCCCAUAUCUUUUAACCACUUCCCUCUAUAUUAACCACUUCACAAAUUCAUUCUUUCUCAUACCGUUCUCUGCAGCAAGAAACCAAGACAGAUUCUUAACAACUUCAAUUCAAGAAACCGAGAACCCAACUCGACAGGGGAAAUUACCAUGUAUUCGCUCAAAAUCUGUUCAAGGUAUAUGAUCACUUGUUUCCUCAAUUUCAGUCACAUUCUGUGCAUACCAUGUAAGCAACGCAACUUACGAUAACGGUAACUAAAUCUAAUCAGUAGCACGAACAAUUAAGUAAAAAGGAAACGAACUUUAAUUUCACCAAAACAAGUAAGAACUUAACUGUAAGUUUGAAAUCGAGAAUCUCGGGUUGGUUUCGGGGCACCGACGCUGACCGAACUCAACGGCGAAGGCAAACUGACCGCAGCCUGCGGUGACGACGGCAGCGGCGCCGUGGCGACGAAUGCAGCAGAGGCUGACCGACGGGAGGCUGCAGACGACGGCAGUUUUGGACGCGCGACGGCGCCGACAGGACCGUGGCGACCGCAAUUUUUCUUCCCGGUGAGCAGCGGCCGGCGACGGUGGAAGGCGACGGUGAAUCGGAGAAUCGACGGUUUCUGUUUUGGGGCUUUCUCUUUAAUUGGGAGUUUUCGUUUUCUUGUGAGAAAAAUCGAGAGAGAUGGAGGUGAAUUUGGAACUUCGUUUUGUUAGUAGCUGCAAUUUGUGGGAGAAUACAGUAGAGAGAGAGGGGGAGGGAAGCCGACGUUUUGUUUAGAGAAUGAGAGUAUUAAUAUGUUUUGUUACUUUUGCAGUAAGGUUUACUUAAUUUUUGUUUGUGUAUGUUGGGGAGGGAGUAUACGUGACAAAAAAAGGCAGUAUAUUUUUUUUAUUUUUUCUUUGGGCCUGCUCUUUUAUUUUUUAAAAGCAAUUGGGCCACAUUAAUAAAUUAGAUGUUUUGUUA